CUUCCAGGAAAAGCCUCUAAGCUUCAGAUUGUAAGGAAUCGUACCCCAAACCGACACAGGUGGUCGGGUAGAGAAUACCAAGGCGCUUGAGAGAACUCGGGUGAAGGAACUAGGCAAAAUGGUACCGUAACUUCGGGAGAAGGUACGCUCUCGACGGUGAAGUCCCUCGCGGAUGGAGCUAUUGAGAGUCGCAGAUACCAGGUGGCUGCAACUGUUUAUUAAAAACACAGCACUGUGCAAAAUCGUAAGAUGACGUAUACGGUGUGACGCCUGCCCGGUGCCGGAAGGUUAAUUGAUGGGGUUAGACUUCGGUCGAAGCUCUUGAUCGAAGCCCCGGUAAACGGCGGCCGUAACUAUAACGGUCCUAAGGUAGCGAAAUUCCUUGUCGGGUAAGUUCCGACCUGCACGAAUGGCGUAAUGAUGGCCACGCUGUCUCCACCCGAGACUCAGUGAAAUUGAAAUCGCUGUGAAGAUGCAGUGUACCCGCGGCUAGACGGAAAGACCCCGUGAACCUUUACUACAGCUUGGCACUGAACAUUGACCCUACAUGUGUAGGAUAGGUGGGAGGCUUUGAAGCACGUACGCCAGUAUGUGUGGAGCCGUCCUUGAAAUACCACCCUUGUAGUGUUGAUGUUCUAACGUCGACCCCUAAUCGGGGUUGCGGACAGUGCCUGGUGGGUAGUUUGACUGGGGCGGUCUCCUCCCAAAGAGUAACGGAGGAGCACGAAGGUGGGCUAAUCACGGUUGGACAUCGUGAGGUUAGUGCAAUGGCAUAAGCCCGCUUGACUGCGAGAAUGACAAUUCGAGCAGGUGCGAAAGCAGGUCAUAGUGAUCCGGUGGUUCUGAAUGGAAGGGCCAUCGCUCAACGGAUAAAAGGUACUCCGGGGAUAACAGGCUGAUACCGCCCAAGAGUUCAUAUCGACGGCGGUGUUUGGCACCUCGAUGUCGGCUCAUCACAUCCUGGGGCUGAAGUCGGUCCCAAGGGUAUGGCUGUUCGCCAUUUAAAGUGGUACGCGAGCUGGGUUUAGAACGUCGUGAGACAGUUCGGUCCCUAUCUGCCGUGGGCGUUGGAAGAUUGAAGGGGGCUGCUCCUAGUACGAGAGGACCGGAGUGGACGAACCUCUGGUGUUCGGGUUGUGUCGCCAGACGCAUUGCCCGGUAGCUAAGUUCGGAAUCGAUAACCGCUGAAAGCAUCUAAGCGGGAAGCGAGCCCUGAGAUGAGUCUUCCCUGAUACUUUAAGUAUCCUAAAGGGUUGUCGGAGACUACGACGUUGAUAGGUCAGGUGUGUAAGUGCUGUGAGGCAUUGAGCUAACUGAUACUAAUUGCCCGUGAGGCUUAACCAUACAACAC
Molecule: ribosomal RNA, 1351 nt
Filed under: Vibrio parahaemolyticus
Lineage: Bacteria; Pseudomonadati; Pseudomonadota; Gammaproteobacteria; Vibrionales; Vibrionaceae
Description: partial 23S ribosomal RNA
Rfam family: Bacterial large subunit ribosomal RNA
Source: RNAcentral